This 1031-nucleotide ribosomal RNA is filed under the name Rimularia limborina. Its description in RNAcentral is "eukaryotic LSU rRNA". The stretch from base 600 to 753 matches the Rfam family "5.8S ribosomal RNA". Lineage: Eukaryota; Fungi; Ascomycota; Lecanoromycetes; Trapeliales; Trapeliaceae. The record is from RNAcentral.
CGCGGUAAUCCUUCUUCACCCGCAUCAGCACGGAAGCCUUGCACUCAAGUCUACGAGGGUUCAUUUUCGUUUCGGAAGUGGAUCCCCCGUGGGCAAGACCCGUACUGUGCAGGGAAAUCCCCCUUUGAAGGGGGCCAACCCGCAGCCGUUGAUAUUCCGUCGACGGUUCACAGAUCAUAUACGGACGUCGUCUCCAUAUCAGCUUCUACUGACGAGUUUAUUUCUUCCCCUUUAUUUCUUCAUCCGUAGCCGAGUUGUCCCGGGGGCUUCGUGAGAGCGGGCUCCCGGGGGGAAAACCCGCGACCGGAGAGAAACGAUGGGGAUGUGUCAGUGGCGUUUGCACAAGGAGAUUAAGAGAUGAUCGAAACCCAAGGGUUGUCUUCCUUGUGACCCACGUUCCGUAGGUGAACCUGCGGAAGGAUCAUUACCGAGAAAGGGUCCUCCGGGCCCGACCCUCCCACCCCGUGUGAACUUGCCCUCGUUGCUUUGACGGGCCGUGCGGCCUUACGGGCCCCCGUCGGCCUCGGCGGACGUGCGCCCGUCAGAGACCCCCCCAAUCCAGUUGUGUAGUGCAGUCCGAGUCUUUGCGAAACAAUGAAAACUUUCAACAACGGAUCUCUUGGUUCUGGCAUCGAUGAAGAACGCAGCGAAAUGCGAUAAGUAAUGUGAAUUGCAGAAUUCAGUGAAUCAUCGAAUCUUUGAACGCACAUUGCGCCCUCCGGUAUUCCGGGGGGCAUGCCUGUUCGAGCGUCAUUACGCCCCUCAAGCCCGGCUUGGUAUUGGGGGCCGCCCCUCCGAAGGGUGCCCCCGAAACGCAGCGGCGACGCGGUCGGGUUUUCAAGCGCAGUAGAACCUUCCGUUUCGCUUUUCAAGACCCGGGCGCGCCCGCCGGACAACCCCCCUUUCUUCGACGGUUGACCUCGGAUCAGGUAGGGAUACCCGCUGAACUUAAGCAUAUCAAUAAGCGGAGGAAAAGAAACCAACAGGGAUUGCCUCAGUAACGGCGAGUGAAGCGGCAACAGCUCAAAUUU